UCGUAGGUGACCUGCGGAGAGAUCAUUA
Molecule: ribosomal RNA, 28 nt
Filed under: uncultured fungus
Lineage: Eukaryota; Fungi
Description: partial 18S ribosomal RNA
Source: RNAcentral